RNAcentral lists this ribosomal RNA (621 nucleotides) under uncultured bacterium. RNAcentral describes it as "bacterial SSU rRNA". It matches the Rfam family "Bacterial small subunit ribosomal RNA", at positions 85 to 703 of the family's 1533-position model. The record is from RNAcentral.
CUGCUGGCGACCGGCAAACGGGUGCGGAACACGUACAGAACCUUCCUUUAAGCGGGGGAUAGCCCAUAGAAAUGUGGAUUAAUACCCCAUAGUAAUGCUGGUUGGCAUCAACUGGUAUUUAAAGAUUUAUCACUUACAGAUGGCUGUGCGUCUGAUUAGGUAGUUGGUGUGGGUAACGGCCCACCAAGCCAUCGAUCAGUAACUGGUGUGAGAGCACGACCAGUCACACGGGCACUGAGACACGGGCCCGACUCCUACGGGAGGCAGCAGUAAGGAAUAUUGGUCAAUGGACGCAAGUCUGAACCAGCCAUGCCGCGUGAAGGAUGAAGGCCCUCUGGGUUGUAAACUUCUUUUAUCUGGGAAGAAAUGCUUGCUUUUUAGUGAGUUUGACGGUACCAGAGGAAUAAGCACCGGCUAACUCCGUGCCAGCAGCCGCGGUAAUACGGAGGGUGCAAGCGUUAUCCGGAUUCACUGUGUUUAAAGGGUGCGUAGGUGGGUCAGUAAGUCAGUGGUGGAAUCUCCGUGCUUAACAUGGAAACUGCCAUUGAUACUACUGGUCUUGAAUUUUCUGGAGGUAAGCGGAAUAUGUCAUGUAGCGGUGAAAUGCUUAAAUAUGACAUA